RNAcentral lists this ribosomal RNA (406 nucleotides) under uncultured Methanosaeta sp. RNAcentral describes it as "bacterial SSU rRNA". It matches the Rfam family "Archaeal small subunit ribosomal RNA", at positions 937 to 1338 of the family's 1478-position model. The record is from RNAcentral. Lineage: Archaea; Methanobacteriati; Methanobacteriota; Methanomicrobia; Methanotrichales; Methanotrichaceae.
CGACGAGCAAUAGUGAAGGUCAGGCUGAAGACCUUACCCCGAUUAGGCUGAGAGGUGGUGCAUGGCCGUCGUCAGUUCGUACUGUGAAGCAUCCUGUUAAGUCAGGCAACGAGCGAGACCCACGUCCACAGUUGCCAGCAUACCCUCCGGGGUGAUGGGUACACUGUGGAGACCGCCGCUGCUAAAGCGGAGGAAGGAGUGGGCAACGGUAGGUCAGUAUGCCCCGAAUCUCCCGGGCUACACGCGGGCUACAAUGGUUGGUACAAUGGGCAUCUACCCCGAAAGGGGAAGGAAAUCUCUUAAAGCCAAUCGUAGUUCGGAUUGAGGGCUGCAACUCGCCCUCAUGAAGCUGGAAUCCGUAGUAAUCGCGUUUCAACAGAACGCGGUGAAUACGUCCCUGCUCCUU